Molecule: ribosomal RNA, 532 nt
Filed under: Nitratidesulfovibrio termitidis
Lineage: Bacteria; Pseudomonadati; Thermodesulfobacteriota; Desulfovibrionia; Desulfovibrionales; Desulfovibrionaceae
Description: bacterial SSU rRNA
Rfam family: Bacterial small subunit ribosomal RNA
Source: RNAcentral
UGGAGAUUUGAUCCUGGCUCAGAUUGAACGCUGGCGGCGUGCCUAACACAUGCAAGUCGUGCGUGAAAGGGCUUCGGCCUGAGUAAAGCGGCGCACGGGUGAGUAACGCGUGGAUGAUCUGCCCAUGAGUUGGGAAUAACGGCUGGAAACGGUCGCUAAUACCGAAUACGCUCCGAUUUCACAGUUCGGGGGAAAGGUGGCCUCUGCUUGCAAGCUACCGCUCAUGGAUGAGUCCGCGUCCCAUUAGCUAGUUGGCGGGGUAAUGGCCCACCAAGGCGACGAUGGGUAGCCGACCUGAGAGGGUGAUCGGCCACACUGGGACUGGAACACGGCCCAGACUCCUACGGGAGGCAGCAGUGGGGAAUAUUGCGCAAUGGGCGAAAGCCUGACGCAGCGACGCCGCGUGAGGGAUGAAGGCCUUCGGGUCGUAAACCUCUGUCAGGAGGGAAGAACCGCCAUGGUGCUAAUCAGCCAUGGUCUGACGGUACCUCCAAAGGAAGCACCGGUUAACUCCGUGCCAGCAGCCGCGGUA